This is a long non-coding RNA of Daucus carota subsp. sativus, 1202 nucleotides long. RefSeq lists it as uncharacterized. The record is from RefSeq and is a predicted model, not a curated record. NCBI's taxonomy places the organism in Eukaryota, Viridiplantae, Streptophyta, Magnoliopsida, Apiales, Apiaceae. The transcript has 5 exons.
AACAAACGAGUCUUGGUAGACUUCUAUCUCCUGCUGGACAUUUGUCUACAAACUAAAGCAAAAGCAAAUACCACAGUAAACAGACACCUGAACCACCGCUUCUUCUCUUCCUCGGCGAGUCUUCCUCUCCGCUCGGUGGGUCUUCCUCUCCAUCAGACAUUUAUUCUACUUUUCAUUCCAUCUCUCAAGAACUUCAUCUCCCCUAAGUGUUAUCUCAUCUGUUUCGAGCCAACCGCAGUUCCUCUACACACAACCUCCGUCCAAGGUCCUGCAUCUGAAGAAUUUGCCAUGGGAAUGCACUGUGGAGGAGCUGAUUGAACUUGGUAAACCAUUUGGUAAAGUUGUCAACACCAAGUGUAAUGUUGGGGCCAACCGAAACCAAGCUUUUAUUGAAUUUGUUGAGUUAAAUCAAGCUAUAGCGAUGAUAUCAUAUUUUGCUUCAUCAUCAGAAGCGGCUCAGGUCCGAGGGAAAACUGUCUACCUACAGUAUUUUAAUAGGCAAGAAAUAGUGAACAACAAAACUACUGCAGAUGUUGCUGGAAAUGUGCUGGAGAUGUUGCAGAUCGCCGAGAACUUAGUAGCUUAACAUAAAAUACAAACAAAGAGGCGAAGAAAGAACUGAAAGAGAUACAGUUACAAGCUGCUCGAAGAAUUACUUAUGAAAUUUGGCAAUUUUGCCUGGAGUAGGAGCAACUUUAGGGGAAGUUUGCCGAGAAUAUCUAAAUGGACGGUGUGCAAAAAGUGAUUGCAGAUUCAAUCACCCACCGCACAGUUUGCUGAUGACUGCAUUAGCUGCCGCAACCACCAUGGGAACUCUCAGCCAGACUGUACCAGUUAAUCCCCAUUCUUGAACAAUUCAACCGGAAAGCAUGUCAUAGUCAAACUGAAGUGGGGAAUGGAAUACAAAGGUAAUGGCUUAAUAUUGGGUUAUUUUAAGCCCAAUACAGUAUAUGCUAGGUUUUCAUAGUGUUACGACUGACUACUAUAUUUAUCGAUAUUCGGCAUCUCUUUUAGCUUUAUAUCAAUCUGUGGUAAAAGAAUAAAAAAUGCGUGCUAUAGAUUUAUAGCAGCUAGCUUAAACUUAAGAGAGUAGCUAGGGACAUCCAGCCAAAUGCGAAAGAUGGUUGUAGUCCAUUGUGUUGAUGGACUAGAAGAAUGUUAAUUUCCAAUUUCUGGUAUAUAUAAUCGAGGCGUUGUAGAUC